AGGAAGAUGUUUCAUAUUUACGGUGAGGAGUUAGAGAGUUGUUUUGGUUUUGGUUUGGUUUGGUUUUUUCCUUAGCCACCAUUAUCCCAGGAUGUCCUUGUUUGGCAGCUGGUUUGGAAUUUCUUCCAGUCAGUGGAAGAUGUUCACAGGGUGAUGAUGCCGUCCUCCUGUGAGAUACCCGGGUCGGCAGCAACCCAGGUAUCCGAAAUCGGGGAAACCCAGCCUCUCUGGUCGCCAGGCCUCCAGUCAAGUUUCGGGUUUGGAUCUGAAGGGCUAACUCUCCGGCUCGGGAGCAGGUCUGAAUCGCAGAAUCUUUAGAAACGAGAUUCCUAACACAUCUUUAUGCAAAACUCGGAACUUGAGGGAAAGAGUGAGGCUGCUGCGUGCGUGCACAGCCCAGAGAGCCUGGGCUCGGCCGGUGCGUGUGCAACGCUCACGACUCCACGCGCGUGCAGAAGCCCUUCAACAGCCCACAGCCAGGGAGGCAGAGGCCAAGAGCAAGAGACGCUUCUCCACGGGUAUACAAUGGCCCUGUGAUUUUGAAUUCCACAAAGAUGAUGAAGAAGAUCUGUGUUCCCAAAUGGGGAACUGUGAACAUCUCUCACCAGUGAUUUGUAGGCCAGUGCUGCUCUCUAUCGAAUGACUGCUUUGUUUAUUUCUAAAACACACCUUGUAGAUUCGUAAGCAUUAAGUUUGUUAGCAUUUAAUGUGAAUGAUUUCAUUUUUAUAAUUUCAGGUAUUUUUACAUUUGGAGUAUGUGUUCAGUUCAAUAUAAUACUUCCAACAUACUGUGUACCACCGUGCGUAACUGGGAAA
Molecule: long non-coding RNA, 816 nt
Organism: Mustela lutreola (European mink)
Lineage: Eukaryota; Metazoa; Chordata; Mammalia; Carnivora; Mustelidae
Exons: 3
Source: RefSeq, a predicted model, not a curated record